UCAGGACGAACGCUGGCGGCGUGCUUAACACAUGCAAGUCAGGGAGAAAGGAGUAGCAAUACUCUGAGUAAACCGGCGAACGGGUGAGUAACACGUAGGCAACUUACCUUGUGAACGGGGAUAACCCCGCGAAAGCGGGGCUAAUACCCGAUGAAAUUCUGAAACAGCAUUGUUUUAGAAUCAAAGAUCCCAAAAGGAUGUCACAAGAUGGGCCUGCGUCCCAUUAGAUAGUUGGCGGGGUAAUGGCCCACCAAGUCGACGAUGGGUAGCUGGUCUGAGAGGACGAUCAGCCACACUGGAACUGAGACACGGUCCAGACUUCUACGGAAGGCAGCAGCGAGGAAUAUUGCUCAAUGGGCGAAAGCCUGAAGCAGCCGACGCCGCGUGAGGGAUGAAAUCCGUUAGGAUGUAAACCUCUUUUGUAGGGGAUGAAUGUCCCGUUUUACGGGAUUGACCGUACCCUGCGAAUAAGCACCGGCCAACUACGUGCCAGCCGCCGC
RNAcentral lists this ribosomal RNA (500 nucleotides) under uncultured bacterium. Its description in RNAcentral is "bacterial SSU rRNA". It matches the Rfam family "Bacterial small subunit ribosomal RNA", at positions 24 to 518 of the family's 1533-position model. The record is from RNAcentral.